This 495-nucleotide ribosomal RNA is filed under the name uncultured bacterium. RNAcentral describes it as "partial 16S ribosomal RNA". It matches the Rfam family "Bacterial small subunit ribosomal RNA", at positions 28 to 507 of the family's 1533-position model. The record is from RNAcentral.
GAUGAACGCUGGCGGCGUGCCUAAUACAUGCAAGUAGAACGCUGAAGGAGGAGCUUGCUCUUCUGGAUGAGUUGCGAACGGGUGAGUAACGCGUAGGUAACCUGCCUGGUAGCGGGGGAUAACUAUUGGAAACGAUAGCUAAUACCGCAUGACAACAGUUAUUGCAUGAUAACUGUUUAAAAGGGGCAACUGCUCCACUACCAGAUGGACCUGCGUUGUAUUAGCUAGUUGGUGAGGUAACGGCUCACCAAGGCGACGAUACAUAGCCGACCUGAGAGGGUGAUCGGCCACACUGGGACUGAGACACGGCCCAGACUCCUACGGGAGGCAGCAGUAGGGAAUCUUCGGCAAUGGACGGAAGUCUGACCGAGCAACGCCGCGUGAGUGAAGAAGGUUUUCGGAUCGUAAAGCUCUGUUGUAAGAGAAGAACGAGUGUGAGAGUGGAAAGUUCACACUGUGACGGUAUCUGACCAGAAAGGGACGGCUAACUACGUG